AAAUAAUUUAAAACCCAAAACAUGUAUUGCAACUUGGCGUUCUAGUUACAUUGCUGUAAUCUGCCUUAAGGUUUAAGAGUAAAAGAGAAAGAAAUCCCGCAAGAUCCAAUAACAUCCGAAAAACAUCUAAUAGGAGAAUUGAAUUCCGUUAUCUGUGAGUUUAUUACAAAGGAAAAGAGCCCGAUAUGAAACAUUUCAAUAUUUCCUGGAAAACUAUUGUGGAUGUUACCAUGGUGUCCAAAAUGAAAUUUCAAAACUAUGUUAUUUUAUAUGUCUGCAUAUAUCCGUCGAUAUUUACUAUUUUUUAAUCGCGUGAAAUUUAUGUGAAGAUUAGGUUAAAGCAAUUUAUUUAUCGACGACUUUUCUUGAACGGAGUUGCAGCCCCGAUAUGAAAAGAUAUAACCCUGUUCAUUGUUGUGUCGCACUCUUCAAAUGAAAUAAAGUACAAUAAAAACA
This is a long non-coding RNA of Ceratitis capitata (Mediterranean fruit fly), 456 nucleotides long. RefSeq lists it as uncharacterized. The transcript has 2 exons. The record is from RefSeq and is a predicted model, not a curated record. Lineage: Eukaryota; Metazoa; Arthropoda; Insecta; Diptera; Tephritidae.